Molecule: long non-coding RNA, 405 nt
Organism: Hypanus sabinus (Atlantic stingray)
Lineage: Eukaryota; Metazoa; Chordata; Chondrichthyes; Myliobatiformes; Dasyatidae
Exons: 2
Source: RefSeq, a predicted model, not a curated record
CUUCUACCUGUUCCAGGUGGCGUUGGAGCCGGCGCGUCUCUGCUGGGUCCCUCGCUCCUCCAAGGCCGCCUGCUCGCUCUUGCCCAGCUCGCAGAGGCUGGGCGAACUCAUGAACUUCGGCCUGCGGAAAUUCCUCAUGAGUGGUUUUAAUGGAGCUUGGGAAGAAGUGCCUUUUACAGGAUCAUCCUGGAGUAAAACAACUACAGCAUUGAAAAACUUGGCCUCAGUACCUGAUGCAGGGUCUCGACCCAAAACGUCGACAAUUUCUUUCCUGCCACAGAUGCUGCUCAACCCUCUGAACUCCUCCAGCAGUUUAUUUAUCGUCUCGGUUCUCCUGGUUUGGUAUAGAACAAAACAAUAUGCAGAAUAAAUUGAGAACUGACAUUCAGGUCUCAAAUGACCUUU